UCCCAGAAGGCAGACUUAAGUUACAAAAUAUAUACACAUGGAAUCUAUCCCAUAAGGAGAUAGUUCCUUUGUCCUCUCUUGGCUGGAAGACAAGAAAGCACCUCAGGCUAAGGAGAUGUUGCUUCUUGGAAGAAUGGAGUCAGAGAGAGAGAUGGCUGCCCUUCCCUGAACUAUUUUCUUACCUGCACAGGUGAGGUAACACCCACCUCUGGUCACAUGUAGAGGAAGUUUGUCCCAGCAAGGAGGAAACAGGAAGCUCUGACCAGCUUCCCGUCCAGACACCCCCUUUUUAUGUCCACUCUAGGAAUGUUGUAUUUGACUACUCUGUGUUUCACACCCCACAAAUACUGUAGAAUCAAAGAAUUGUAGAGCUGGAACGGACCCUGAGUGGCUGGGGAAACCCAGGCAGAUGGGAAGGGGAAGGGGAAGGGGAAGGGGAAGGGGAAGGGGAAGAAGAAGAAGAAGAAGAAGAAGAAGAAGAAGAAGAAGAAGAAGAAGAAGAAGAAGAAGAAGAAGAAGAAGAAGAAGUCCAACCCCCUGCAAUGCAGGAAUCUGAACUGGAGCAUCCCUGACAGAUGGCCACCCAAUCUCUACUUAUAAACCUCCAAGGAAAGAGAGCCCACAACCCCUUGUGGCAGUCUGUUCCACUGUCAAGUGGUUCUUACUUUCAGAAACGUCUUCCUGAUGUUUAGUAGGCCUCUCCUUUCUUGUAACUAGAAGCCAAUGGUUUGGGUCCUACCCUCUGGAGCAGGAGAAAACAAGCUUGUUCCAUUUUCCACAUGACAGCCCCUGAGGUAUCUGAAGAUGCCUGUCAUAUCACUUCUCAGUCUUCUCUUUUCCCCCAGGGUGGGUAACAGGCAAUUCCUCCAACCCCUUGUCUUGGUCUUACCACCCCUCCAUGAAGAUUCUUCGGGUCUUAUCUUAUGGAAGUAGAUUAGGGAAGGAGCCAAAAUCCCAGUUACUCACUCUGGCAGAAGCCUUCUGGAGCAGAUCAAGGUUGGCUGCAGCAGGUCCUAGGGCCAUUUUGGCCAUCCCUCAAUUGCCAUCACUGGCCCUUUGUUGUGUUGAAGAUCCCAGAGGAUAGAGGGCAGGGGCUAGGAUGGCACAAGUAUGCCCUCAGGCCUCUCUAGGCCUCUCCUCAUAUUCUCUACAGCCUCUGGCACAACCAGGGGGUAUUGUCAUCAGCUGUUACUUCCAAGCGAAUGUCCUUGGGAGCCAAACAGAAGUAUAUAAAAGGGUUUGGGGUAUGUUGAAACAUGUUGAGACUCAAGCUCUCUGAAUGGGGAUUUUAAUGACCGCAUCGGAGAGUACAGGGAAUUGUGAGGAACGAAUUUGCUGCUGUCCUUGUGUUAAUGUAACUGAAAAAUCAUGCAGAUAAGGACGUAAUUCCCCCGACCCCUUUCUGCACAGAACAGCAGCUUUCUCCUGAUGGAAUUCGACUCACACCAGUUACCAUAUGAGGCUCGAUCUUGCAAGUACCCUUGAAAAGUUAUAAUAGCAGAAUAAUGGAGUCAGGAGGCAUUCUGACAGCCAGCUAAGCUGUGUGCUCGCUUUGAUGCGAUGGGGCCAUCUGAGCAGCAAUCCAGCUAUAGGUUUAAUUUCCUUUUCAUACUUAUCAAGGGUAGUCAGGGUAGAGGAAGUUGGUGUGGACCUAAAUAGCAGAGGCAAACAGCUGCAGACGACCAAAUCCUUGUGUCUCGCCAUGAGAUUAUUGGGGUACAUAUGAAAGCCGCUUUAGGCAUCUCUUCUAUUUUACAGAUGAAGGUUCUGUCCCUGUGUCUGUGUGCAAUUAUAUCAUAGCAAUGGGGAUUGAAGUUGGUGUAACUGACUCAUCAGCCUGUGAAAUCUAUAGCCGGAAGAAAAAGGGGGGAUUCUGAAAGACAUUAUGGUGGAAGCAUUCAUUAAAGAAGGGGUGGGGAUCUCAGGGAAUGAAUUCAAGCCCUCCAAAGAUCUCUACUUUCUCCUUGGGACUCUUGGGCACACACCCUCCCAAGCCACACCACAUAUCCCCAAGGCAGGUUCCUCACUGGUGCUGCUGGUUCCUUGCGUAUUUAGGCUACUUCAAGUCUUCCAUUGGACUCUGACCAUGCCUGGGGGAAAGAGCAGGUGGGUGUGAAAAUUAGCCUACAGUAAGGGGUUAAAAUUUACAUUCGUUGCUCCACCCACUGACCCAGACCACCACUGGCAUCUGCCCCCCCCAGCUCACUGCAACCUCCCCCCCCCCAAAAAAGUGAAAAUCAGUGUCUGAUCACACAUAUAUUUACUGUUGCUUCAAGAAUCAAGUGAAAUAAUUUAACCAGCAACAUGAUCCAAAGUUAGGCACUUAAAAGUGCCACAGCUUUCGGCAGAAGAUAUUUGUGCAUGUAGUUAACUCUCAGGUUGAAAAUAAUGGUACUCCAAAGAGCUUAGACGUGUGCUGCAUCAAGGUUUGCAUUACUUGGGACUGCCAUUCAAAAGGAGAGGCAGGAGCCUUUUCUCACAUUGCAUACUGAAGUAAGCCAUAUUCCCCUUUUCCCCCCUUAGGACCGCAUCCAAAAGCAAUAUAGAUGGACAAGCCUACAGAGAAAAGAUGGCUCGCAAAAGCUUUCCAGUGGGAUUUCUGAUCCUGCAAAGACCCACACAUAUCUCAGUCACUUUCUCCUAAGCUGCAGCAAAGAUGAAAGGCGCUUUAACCUCCUUUCCUGAAAUGUGAACAGCAACAGAGCCUUUUCUCAAAACCCUGCCCUCAUUAGGCUUGCAUCUCAACUUCUGCGGUAUUGAAUCAAUGGGCACAGCCAGUGUUGCCACAACCUUUGCCUUGCUCAGUUUGAAAUGGGCCUGCCUUGAAAAUCUGUUCCCAAACAGCAUUAAAGAG
RNAcentral lists this long non-coding RNA (2854 nucleotides) under Podarcis lilfordi (Lilford's wall lizard). Lineage: Eukaryota; Metazoa; Chordata; Lepidosauria; Squamata; Lacertidae. The record is from RNAcentral.